GACGAACGCUGGCGGCGUGCCUAAUACAUGCAAGUAGAACGCUGAAGGAGGAGCUUGCUCUUCUGGAUGAGUUGCGAACGGGUGAGUAACGCGUAGGUAACCUGCCUGGUAGCGGGGGAUAACUAUUGGAAACGAUAGCUAAUACCGCAUAACAGUAGAUGUUGCAUGACAUUUACUUAAAAGGUGCAAUUGCAUCACUACCAGAUGGACCUGCGUUGUAUUGGCUAGUUGGUGGGGUAACGGCUCACCAAGGCGACGAUACAUAGCCGACCUGAGAGGGUGAUCGGCCACACUGGGACUGAGACACGGCCCAGACUCCUACGGGAGGCAGCAGUAGGGAAUCUUCGGCAAUGGACGGAAGUCUGACCGAGCAACGCCGCGUGAGUGAAGAAGGUUUUCGGAUCGUAAAGCUCUGUUGUAAGAGAAGAACGAGUGUGAGAGUGGAAAGUUCACACUGUGACGGUAUCUUACCAGAAAGGGACGGCUAACUACGUG
Molecule: ribosomal RNA, 495 nt
Filed under: uncultured bacterium
Lineage: Bacteria
Description: partial 16S ribosomal RNA
Rfam family: Bacterial small subunit ribosomal RNA
Source: RNAcentral